UCCUAUUCCCUGGAUCCAGUCAAAAGGGUUUGAGAGCUUAAAGCGGUCAUUGCAUACUUCAACAGAUGAUGAUGGUUUUGCAGAAUUAGGCUUACCGGAGGAAAGGGUUGGAGGUAUUAUUCGGAAACUGAAGACAGGAACUGAGCAUUUUGUGAAAAUUGGUGGUGCUGAAAAGAAGCUAAAUGGGUCACAUUUUAAGGCAGACAGUCACUUUAACAUCAAGGAUGUAUCACAUAAAGUUGCGAAGUCUUCUGUUCCUUCUCUAGAUCUUCAGAACAAUAAUGACAAAAAAAUCUAAUUUCAGAGCUUCACAUUCUGUUACGAUUAAGAAUGUUCUUUCUAUAAUCAACUGUCUCGUGUCGAAGAAAGCAAUUUCAGUUUUUGGCAAGGUGUCAAAGUUUUCCAAGAGGUCAGUUCCAAAUGGACUUGAUUGUUGUGACAUUGAAUUUAAGCUUGAGAAGUCAAGAAAGGAAGCAUUAUCAAUGGGCUAUGUAACAGUGAAGGAACAUCAGCUUAGAGACUGCAG
Molecule: long non-coding RNA, 526 nt
Organism: Hibiscus syriacus
Lineage: Eukaryota; Viridiplantae; Streptophyta; Magnoliopsida; Malvales; Malvaceae
Exons: 4
Source: RefSeq, a predicted model, not a curated record